GCAGCUUUGUCCGAGCGGUUUAAGGAGGCAGUCUUAAGCACUGCUGUGCCAUGCACUCGUGGGUUCGAAUCCCACAGGCUGCA
Molecule: non-coding RNA, 83 nt
Organism: Hesseltinella vesiculosa
Lineage: Eukaryota; Fungi; Mucoromycota; Mucoromycetes; Mucorales; Cunninghamellaceae
Source: the annotation of a GenBank genome assembly